UACCAGCACCCCGAGUGGUCGGGACGAUUAUUGGGCCUAAAGCAUCCGUAGCCGGUUUUACAAGUCCUCCGUUAAAUCCAGCUGCUUAACAGAUGGGCUGCGGAGGAUACUAUAAGACUUGGAGGCAGGAGAGGCAAGCGGUACUCAGUGGGUAGGGGUAAAAUCCGUUGAUCCAUUGAAGACCACCAGUGGCGAAGGCGGCUUGCCAGAAUGCGCUCGACGGUGAGGGAUGAAAGCUGGGGGAGCAAACCGG
RNAcentral lists this ribosomal RNA (253 nucleotides) under uncultured bacterium. RNAcentral describes it as "partial 16S ribosomal RNA". It matches the Rfam family "Archaeal small subunit ribosomal RNA", at positions 474 to 727 of the family's 1478-position model. The record is from RNAcentral.